Molecule: long non-coding RNA, 160 nt
Organism: Thalassophryne amazonica
Lineage: Eukaryota; Metazoa; Chordata; Actinopteri; Batrachoidiformes; Batrachoididae
Exons: 3
Source: RefSeq, a predicted model, not a curated record
UGUGCCUGUGUGUGUGUGUGUGUGUGUGUGUACUGUUUGUUUCCAUCUGUGUGGGAGAUUUCCAGCUCUGCAGCUUUGACUUCAUGUGUUAUGUGAUGUUUUUUUAGUUAUGUUUUAAUUGUGACCUGCCAAGGGACUGCAGAUGUAAAUUAGCUUUAAG